GAGCUAGACCCAGGAAUAACUCGACUUUUGCUCCUCUAAUGAAGGAGCCUAAGCAGCUGAGCUGCUUUUGUGCAGGUAAAACGGAGUCAGAGGGGACAGAGAAUCCGUCUCACUGGACGCUGCCAAGGAAGUGAACACUCUGUUCCCAUUACCUGUAAGGGAUUUAAACCAGAGAAAUCUUCCUUCUAUUUUCAGGUGAGGACAGGGGGCGGGAGUCAGUGGAGGCUCGGGACUCAGACUGUGCACAAAAUUUCAGGUGCCUUGACCUCUCAGCACUCCAUUCUCAUGAUCCUUAUUACCUACUUCAAUCUUUUCAAAAUGUGAGAGCAGACUUUCCCUUUGAUAUAAAUAUUUAGAACAGGGAGAUUUGGGCACACAUCAUUCUAAGUGAGUGUAACAGGGGUCCUUUUAUAACCUUCAGCUUCUUUCCAUCCCAUCCUCCACCCCCAAUAAGUGACACACAGGACUCUAACCUUGCAAAGGAGGACCCUUAGCUUGUCUGCUGAGAUAGCUUCACAUCACUACUAGCCACAGUGAGCAAAACCACCCCAGCAAAUAUGAUUUCCACCCUCCUUCUUUCCACCAUACAAAUAUGUGUCCAGCCUUCCUUUUCCUGCACUGGGUAAAUGCAACAGGAAAAUUACUUUCAGACAUCAGCUACUUUCAGAAAUCAUCUCAACCCAGGAAACUGAUUCUCCCGGUAGAGAA
Non-coding RNA from Ceratotherium simum simum (southern white rhinoceros), 708 nucleotides. The record is from RefSeq and is a predicted model, not a curated record. NCBI's taxonomy places the organism in Eukaryota, Metazoa, Chordata, Mammalia, Perissodactyla, Rhinocerotidae.